This 69-nucleotide non-coding RNA is filed under the name unclassified sequences. The record is from Rfam.
UGGGACCUUCGGGGCCCUUCACUUCAGGCACCCUGCAAGGGGCGCCGCCAAGCAAACGGAAGACAGAAA